RNAcentral lists this ribosomal RNA (784 nucleotides) under uncultured bacterium. Its description in RNAcentral is "bacterial SSU rRNA". It matches the Rfam family "Bacterial small subunit ribosomal RNA", at positions 90 to 883 of the family's 1533-position model. The record is from RNAcentral.
GGGAAGCGGCGAACGGGUGAGUAACACCUAUGUAAUCUGCCCAUCAGACGGGGACAACGAUUGGAAACGAUCGCUAAUACCGGAUAGGACGAAAGUUUAAAGAUGCUCCUGGCAUCACUGAUGGAUGAGCCUGCGGCGCAUUAGCUAGUUGGUGGGGUAAAGGCCUACCAAGGCGACGAUGCGUAGGGGUUCUGAGAGGAAGGUCCCCCACACUGGUACUGAGACACGGACCAGACUCCUACGGGAGGCAGCAGUGAGGAAUAUUGGUCAAUGGGCGAUAGCCUGAACCAGCCAAGUCGCGUGAGGGAAGACGGCCCUAUGGGUUGUAAACCUCUUUUGUCGGGGAGCAAGGUCGCUACGAGUAGCGAUUUGAGAGUACCCGAAGAAAAAGCAUCGGCUAACUCCGUGCCAGCAGCCGCGGUAAUACGGAGGAUGCGAGCGUUAUCCGGAUUUAUUGGGUUUAAAGGGUGCGUAGGCGGGAGAUCAAGUCAGCGGUAAAAAUGCGGGGCCCAACCCCGUCGAGCCGUUGAAACUGGUUUUCUUGAGUGGGCGAGAGGUAUGCGGAAUGCGUGGUGUAGCGGUGAAAUGCAUAGAUAUCACGCAGAACCCCGAUUGCGAAGGCAGCAUACCGGCGCCCAACUGACGCUGAGGCACGAAAGCGUGGGUAUCGAACAGGAUUAGAUACCCUGGUAGUCCACGCAGUAAACGAUGAACACUACCUGUUCGGUCUGACUGAAGACUGAGUGGGACAGCGAAAGCGUUAAGUGUUCCACCUGGGGAGUAC